CUUAAAUCAACAAAGCAGACAAACACUCUACUAUCCUUAUGUGAACAAUAUUUAUCAAUAAAUUUAAUAUAAACAUAUGGUCAGAUGUUCUAGCCUUUUUUGUGAAACCAAUCUGAGAGUCAUCUAUUAGAUUAUGUUUUAUUAAAAAAUUAUCCAAUAUAGAGUUUAAUAUGCAAUUGAAUAAUUUACCAACACAGCUGGUGAUUGUCAGGCCUCUAUAGUUACUUGGUUCAUCUUUAUCGCCACCUUUAUAUAGCGUUUUUAUAUAUCCUUCCGUCCAUGAUUUAGGAUAUAAACCAUAUAAUAAACUGGUAUUAAACAAUUUAAUUAAACAUUUUGUUAAGAAAAUUUGGCCACUUUUGAACAUGUUGAUGCUAAUAUGAUCUAAUCCAGGAGCUUUAUCCCUUUUUAAUCUACCAAUAGUAGAAUAUAUUUCUGAGUCCUUUAUUGGAAAAUUUAGAUCAUUGAAACAUUUAUUUUUUUCAGCAUCUUCUAGCUUUUUGUCAAGUUCUUUUAAACGAUCUGUAAAUUCUAAACUGAAAGAGUUCAAGUCCUGAAA
RNAcentral lists this long non-coding RNA (559 nucleotides) under Mytilus galloprovincialis (Mediterranean mussel). Lineage: Eukaryota; Metazoa; Mollusca; Bivalvia; Mytilida; Mytilidae. The record is from RNAcentral.